AGAUCCUCCUCCCCUGUAGAUGAACCCGCGGAAGGAUCAUUAAUGAAUUCACUAUGGAGUUGUUGCUGGCCUCUAGGGGCAUGUGCACGCUUCACUAGUCUUUCAACCACCUGUGAACUUUUGAUAGAUCUGUGAAGUCGUCUCUCAAGUCGUCAGACUUGGUUGCUGGGAAUUAAACCUUUCGGGGUGACAACCCCGUUUUUUUUUACACACCCCCAUGUAUGUCUACGAAAGUCAUUUAAAGGGCCCUGUGCCUUUAAACCCCAAUACAACUUUUUACAAAGGAUAUCUUGGGUCUCGCAUCGCUGAAAAAAGCACCGAAAAGUGAUAAGAAAUUGAAAAGCAGAAAUCACAGAUAAUAGCAUAUUUGAACACGCCCUGCGCCCCCUGGUAUUUCCAGGGGCGCGCCCGUGUGAGAGUCGCUAAAAUUUCACACACACAUUGGGUUUUUUCCAAUUGUGAUGUUUGGAUUGUUGGGGGCUGCUGGCCUUGACAGGUCGGCUCCUCUUAAAUGCAUUAGCAGGACUUCUCAUUGCCUCUGCGCGUGAUGUGAUAAUUAUCACUCAUCAAUAGCACGCAUGAAUAGAGUCCAGCUCUCUAAUCGUCCGCAAGGACAAUUUGACAUUUGACCUCAAAUCGGUAGGACUACCCGCUGAACUUAAGCAUGUCAAUAAAGCGGAAGAAAGAGAUCAUUAACAAAUUCACUAUUG
This 710-nucleotide ribosomal RNA is filed under the name Pleurotus floridanus. RNAcentral's name for it is "eukaryotic LSU rRNA". The stretch from base 271 to 422 matches the Rfam family "5.8S ribosomal RNA". The record is from RNAcentral. Lineage: Eukaryota; Fungi; Basidiomycota; Agaricomycetes; Agaricales; Pleurotaceae.